Molecule: ribosomal RNA, 597 nt
Filed under: Triticum aestivum (bread wheat)
Lineage: Eukaryota; Viridiplantae; Streptophyta; Magnoliopsida; Poales; Poaceae
Description: partial small subunit ribosomal RNA
Source: RNAcentral
AUGGUGCCCAACAAAACUGUUAGGUCUAGGAGUAGCUUAUAUGAUGGCGAUGUGAUUCUUUUCACCAAUCCAGUUAAGCAGGAGAUAGAUGCCCUAAUAAAGAUCCUUCCCAGGUUCGGCGAUGCAACAAGACUCAAAAUCAACCUCGACAAAUCCUCUAUAGUUGCGAUCCAGUGCGAUGGCAUCAACUUGCACGAUGUGCUUCAGAGCUUCGAUGGACAGCUAGUGAAUUUCUCAAUUAGGUACCUAGGUCUACCCGUCACCAUCUCCAGGCUUAGGGGUGUUCAUCCGAUAUUCAUCCUGGAAUGUAUCCGCGUGCGAUUAACUGGGUGGAAGGGCCAUCUACUUUCCUUGGCAGGCAGACGGGUGCUGGUCCGCUCUGUGCUCACGGCCAUGCCAACUUUCGCCCUCUCGGUACUGCGGGCACCGGCCAAGUUCUUCAAAGACAUUGAAAAAUCGCAUCGUCGCUUCCUUUGGGCUGGCGACAAGGAGCUCAAUGGUGGCCACUACAAGGUUAGCUUGAAGCUUGUCUGCUCCCCAAUUCAGCACGGCAGGCUCAAAAUUCGGAACCUGCAGAAGUUCAGUAGGGCCUUCUGA